Mycena vulgaris is the source of this 89-nucleotide non-coding RNA. NCBI's taxonomy places the organism in Eukaryota, Fungi, Basidiomycota, Agaricomycetes, Agaricales, Mycenaceae. The record is from the annotation of a GenBank genome assembly.
GGCCCAGUAGCGGAUGGUCCGCGCCUGUUUUCUAUAUCUCUUCAUAAGCAUUUCUGCAGGAGACGCUCGUUCGAAUCGAGCCUGGGCCU